RNAcentral lists this ribosomal RNA (253 nucleotides) under uncultured bacterium. RNAcentral describes it as "partial 16S ribosomal RNA". It matches the Rfam family "Bacterial small subunit ribosomal RNA", at positions 524 to 776 of the family's 1533-position model. The record is from RNAcentral.
GACGUAGGGCGCGAGCGUUGUCCGGAUUUAUUGGGCGUAAAGAGCUCGUAGGCGGCUUGUUGCGUCGACUGUGAAAACCCGCGGCUUAACUGCGGGCUUGCAGUUGAUACGGGCAGGCUAGAGUUCGGUAGGGGAGACUGGAAUUCCUGGUGUAGCGGUGAAAUGCGCAGAUAUCAGGAGGAACACCGGUGGCGAAGGCGGGUCUCUGGGCCGAAACUGACGCUGAGGAGCGAAAGCGUGGGGAGCGAACAGG